GAUGAACGCUGGCGGCGUGCCUAAUACAUGCAAGUCGAGCGAACGGACGAGAAGCUUGCUUCUCUGAUGUUAGCGGCGGACGGGUGAGUAACACGUGGAUAACCUACCUAUAAGACUGGGAUAACUUCGGGAAACCGGAGCUAAUACCGGAUGAUAUUUUGAACCGCAUGGUUCAAAAGUGAAAGACGGUCUUGCUGUCACUUAUAGAUGGAUCCGCGCUGCAUUAGCUAGUUGGUAAGGUAACGGCUUACCAAGGCAACGAUGCAUAGCCGACCUGAGAGGGUGAUCGGCCACACUGGAACUGAGACACGGCCCAGACUCCUACGGGAGGCAGCAGUAGGGAAUCUUCGGCAAUGGGCGAAAGCCUGACGGAGCAACGCCGCGUGGGUGAUGAAGGUCUUCGGAUCGUAAAACUCUGUUAUUAGGGAAGAACAUAUGUGUAAGUAACUGUGCACAUCUUGACGGUACCUAAUCAGAAAGCCACGGCUAACUACGUG
RNAcentral lists this ribosomal RNA (497 nucleotides) under uncultured bacterium. RNAcentral's name for it is "partial 16S ribosomal RNA". It matches the Rfam family "Bacterial small subunit ribosomal RNA", at positions 28 to 507 of the family's 1533-position model. The record is from RNAcentral.